UGUAUAUGUCAGUUGCAGGUCUUUCUAGUUGUGGGAUGAGGGACGCCGCCUCAACGUGGCCUGACUAGCAGUGCCAUGUCUGUGCCCAGGAUCCGGACCCAGGGCCGCCACAGCAGAGCGCGCGAACUUAACCACUCGGCCACGGAGCCGGCCCCGGCUUGGAAGCCAAGAGUCUGAAGCCAAAGUGCAAAUCAGUAACAGCUAUUCCUGGUGGAGGACAGGAUGUGCGUACCACCUAGCACGUUGUAUAUUCACAGACAUAAAGGAUGCACAAAACAUGCCACGCACUGCAUUUCUGCGCUAAUGCAUAGGAGGCUAAUGAUAAACUCUUCGCUCACUCAAUGAUUUGGUAUUCAUGUUUUGACUCAAAAUUUAAUGCCUUUCCUGAAGUACAUUGUUUUAAAUGUAUUUUUAAUCCUGUUAAAGGAGUAGAAGCAGAUCAGAAAUAAAAAUUCCAUUAAUAAAGCAUAUAGUCAGAGAUACUAAGUUCAUUAAUUUAUAAUUCUGUAAAUCAUAAUUUACUAACUCUGAGAAAAUUGGCCUAGUGACCCACACUUAAUUUUGCAAUCUAUGUUCACUAUCCAUGUAUAUGUAAGCACAUAAUCAAAUCUUCUUAUAUUUAUUGGAUCUGACAAAAUUCUUUAAAAAAA
RNAcentral lists this long non-coding RNA (650 nucleotides) under Equus asinus (donkey). RNAcentral describes it as "lncRNA (ENSEASG00005038697.1)". Lineage: Eukaryota; Metazoa; Chordata; Mammalia; Perissodactyla; Equidae. The record is from RNAcentral.